This 465-nucleotide ribosomal RNA is filed under the name Vreelandella stevensii. Its description in RNAcentral is "partial 16S ribosomal RNA". It matches the Rfam family "Bacterial small subunit ribosomal RNA", at positions 338 to 795 of the family's 1533-position model. The record is from RNAcentral. Lineage: Bacteria; Pseudomonadati; Pseudomonadota; Gammaproteobacteria; Oceanospirillales; Halomonadaceae.
CCUACGGGAGGCUGCAGUGGGGAAUAUUGGACAAUGGGCGAAAGCCUGAUCCAGCCAUGCCGCGUGUGUGAAGAAGGCCUUCGGGUUGUAAAGCACUUUCAGUGGGGAAGAAAGCCUUGGGGCUAAUACCCUCGAGGAAGGACAUCACCCACAGAAGAAGCACCGGCUAACUCCGUGCCAGCAGCCGCGGUAAUACGGAGGGUGCGAGCGUUAAUCGGAAUUACUGGGCGUAAAGCGCGCGUAGGCGGUCUGAUAAGCCGGUUGUGAAAGCCCCGGGCUCAACCUGGGAACGGCAUCCGGAACUGUCAGGCUAGGGUGCAGGAGAGGAAGGUAGAAUUCCCGGUGUAGCGGUGAAAUGCGUAGAGAUCGGGAGGAAUACCAGUGGCGAAGGCGGCCUUCUGGACUGACACUGACGCUGAGGUGCGAAAGCGUGGGUAGCAAACAGGAUUAGAUACCCCAGUAGUC